Molecule: long non-coding RNA, 1100 nt
Organism: Ornithorhynchus anatinus (platypus)
Lineage: Eukaryota; Metazoa; Chordata; Mammalia; Monotremata; Ornithorhynchidae
Exons: 4
Source: RefSeq, a predicted model, not a curated record
GAACCCAUGACCACCUGACUCCCAAACCCACGGUCUAACCGCUGCGCCACGCUGCUUCCCCACAGGUGCCCCGUCAGGCCCGGGGCAGAUCCCUCGGCCGUCAAGUUUGCCGACCCGGCCUUUGGAAAGCGAAGAACUGAGCAGGCUGGGGGUGCUUGAAUAGUGCCUCAUUCUACCGAUCAUUCCCAACUCCCAACUAAUUAUCCGAAGGACUCGGCCCGGUCCCGAGAAACACACCCACGGCCAAAGAUUUUAGGCGGCGACAAGAGAGCCGUAGUUUGGCGUGGAGUUCUGCCACAGAGGCCGCCCAGCGCCGCGCGGAUAAACAGUCGAGGCCGCCGUCUGCGGACGAGGACGCGCGUGGCGCCGGGCCGGCUUCAAGCCGAGACCGAGCUCGGUUCUGUUCUCAUUGUGGAGUCCGGGGCCCAGCUCGGAGGGCCCAUCUGACUUCCCAAGUAGUUUCAGUGCCAACCUCAACAUCAGAUGGCCAGGCAGGAGGGCCAACAAGCGCGUUCUGGUUGGCUGCCAGUCCGUCGGCGGGGAGGCAUCCCUCCCCGGCUGGGCGGGACACUCGGGACCCACCCCUGCCCCCAGAAAAGCCCGUUCCAGGCUCUUAAGAACACCUUGUCACUCAGAGGCCAAAGGGGAAAAACAAUUCCAGGGGCUCCACGGAGCCAAGCACCCGGACAGCCACCACCCAACGGCCCACACGCACCUACCCAGCCCGAAAGACGCGGUCUCGGCCUCGCUCUGCACCGACGCGCAAGGGACGCGCUGCAGACACGGAAGGAGACCGUAGAGAAACACUUCCUAAGUACAGUCACUACCCUCAGGAACUCCUUAUGUUGCCUUGAAACAAAGUUGACGGCUGCGUACUCCAACAAGGCGGCAAACACAAAGAGAAGGCACACUGCCAUCCAGAUGUCUAUCGCUUUUACGAAAAGGGCCUUUCCGAGGCCCCUCGACGGGAACCUGUCUGCUGAUCUUCGCCGGCAGAACGGACCCCAGGAAGCGGCAAAUGCCAAAAUGUGGAGAACACAGGCCACGUGACAACUCAGAGAUGAGGGAACUGAGGCACAGAGAAGUUAAGUGACUUGCCC